UUAAAACCGGAUUUUUAAAGAUGAUCCUCUUUAGAUUUUGGAGAGUUGAAAUUUUUUGAAAGCGUGAAAUUUUUUUUUAAUAUAUCUGCCAAAACAAUAUUUCUCAGCUGCUAUGACUCAAUUUUAGGAAUUAGAGUAAAUAUAUAUAUAUAUAUAUGUACAUAUGGGGCAUUCUUUGUCAAGCGGGCCACCCGCCGUUCCAAAAUUGUAUUUGACGUAGAAGAACCAUCUUGCACACAAAUUUAGUUACAGGCAAGAGCUAUCAAAAGCCAUGUGCGCUUUUAAAAAAUUCAAAAUGGCGGAGCUAAUAUGGCGGAUAUAAGAGUGCAAAAUGUAAAAUAGUUCAUAGAUUUACUUCAAUUCUGUUUUCUAAGAGUUUUCGAGGAUGCUAAUUACGAAACUGCUGUCAAAUUUUAAAAAUUAAAAAUGGCUGAUUCAAUAUGGCGGAUAUAAAAGUGUAAAAUGUAGAAUAGUUUACACAAUUACUUAAAUCUUGUUUACUGUUCACUGUUGAGAAACAGUGUAGUGUAAAAUAUAAGUCAAAUGUCGCGUCUGGAAUAUGUCUGAAGAGAGAUCGCUUGAUUACACGCGAAAAGACAAUCAAGCAGUAGCGUCACUUCUAAACAAAUGAAUAUCUCGCGCGUCUCCGUCACGGAUAUAGGAAUGUAGAAUUGAAUUUUUCAAAACCGCACAUGCCUUUCGAUAGCUCUUGCCUGUAACUAAAUUUGUGUGCAAGAUGGUUCUUCUACGUCAAAUACAAUUUUGGAACGGCGGCCCGCUUGACAAAGAAUGCCCCAUAUGUACAUAUAUAUAUAUAUUCACUUUAAUUCCUAAAAUUGAGUCAUAGCAGCUGAGAAAUAUUGUUUUGGCAGAUAUAUUUAAAAAAAAUUUCACGCAACUCUCCAAAAUCUAAAGAGGAUCAUCUUUAAAAAUCCGGUUUUAACUAAUUAAUGUUUUCAGAAGGAUUCGUAGUUCGCUUGCUGAUCCGUACAAACGUGCGAUUUCUCUCUCUACACUUUGGCUUAUUAUUCAACUGCUGACUUUGAUACUCAACUAAGUGAAUCGGCUUAUCCAUAUCUUUUUUCUAUCAUAUCUUCUCAAGCUGAAAUUGAAGAUCUGCAAUCUAUUACAUCUAGAUUUUAUGUAUUAAGCGACCGUCUUCGACUUGAGCACAUUUCUCUUAUGUACGCAGUACCACCAUUUUCAAAUCACCACCACGUGGAAAACUUGAGAAAUUAUUCGAAUAAUUUUCAUCAUCUAUAUAUACUAUUCGAGGACGAUUUGAUUUGAGAUGGCAUCAUUAAUUUAAUUAUCUAACCUAUGAUAACAA
RNAcentral lists this long non-coding RNA (1330 nucleotides) under Monomorium pharaonis (pharaoh ant). RNAcentral's name for it is "uncharacterized LOC118646985, transcript variant X2". Lineage: Eukaryota; Metazoa; Arthropoda; Insecta; Hymenoptera; Formicidae. The record is from RNAcentral.